AACGAACGCUGGCGGCAGGCUUAACACAUGCAAGUCGAACGCCCCGCCAGGGGAGUGGCAGACGGGUGAGUAACGCGUGGGAACAUACCCUUUUCUACGGAAUAGCUCUGGGAAACUGGAAUUAAUACCGUAUACGCCCUACGGGGGAAAGAUUUAUCGGGGAAGGAUUGGCCCGCGUUGGAUUAGCUAGUUGGUGGGGUAAAGGCCUACCAAGGCGACGAUCCAUAGCUGGUCCGAGAGGAUGAUCAGCCACAUUGGGACUGAGACACGGCCCAAACUCCUACGGGAGGCAGCAGUGGGGAAUAUUGGACAAUGGGCGCAAGCCUGAUCCAGCCAUGCCGCGUGAGUGAUGAAGGCCUUAGGGUUGUAAAGCUCUUUCACCGAUGAAGAUAAUGACGGUAGUCGGAGAAGAAGCCCCGGCUAACUUCGUG
RNAcentral lists this ribosomal RNA (431 nucleotides) under uncultured bacterium. Its description in RNAcentral is "partial 16S ribosomal RNA". It matches the Rfam family "Bacterial small subunit ribosomal RNA", at positions 29 to 507 of the family's 1533-position model. The record is from RNAcentral.